CUGAAGCCCCAGUCAUCAAGACCCCGUACAUCAUGUCCAACGCCAUCUGUCUGCGCUGCCCAUGGCUGUGAUGGGUGCCGCUACCUCCUGUCCCCUCCAACUGCCAGGCAUGCAAGCUUCCUCCUGCUCCACCAGCUCUCCCACUGGCUCUGACACCUUUGUCACCUCCCAUGUCGUGUGGUGGAAAUGCAUGGUGCUGGGGCAGGCCCAAACUCCCACCCUGACAGCAGGCACAUUUCCAAAAGCUCUGUUCACUUCCUCAUCCUGCUGGCUCGUGAGAAGAUCCUGUUGUCAGCUCUGCCCACCAGCACAGCAGAGGUGGGAUUGUUACGGGCAGCCUGGAAAACAGCAGGGGAAUAACCAUUUCCCCCUUUGGAUGUUAUUUGUUGAGAAAUGCUGUCUGGGAAGUGUUGAGUCAGGGCCUGAACCACUGAUGGAGCAUCUGGGGAAAGGACCCAGUCAGCCCUGGGAGCAUAGGUGAGGGCAGUUCAGUUGUAUGAUGGAAUGAGGGGAGCCUGGCUGCACCUCUCCUAGACCUCAUUGAAGGGCUGACUCUGCAUGGGCAAGGAUCUCUGGUUGGAGAUCCCUCCCUUGUGGAGUUUUCCCUGUGAGCCUGGAUCUUCAGAAACAGGUGAGCACUUUCCUUUGUCUUUGUAACACCCUUCUGUUGUGCCAGUCCCUUUGUGGUUACACCUCCUUCCACUGCACUGAUCAUUCUGAUUGUUACAGAUGUCCUCUGCCCCUUCCCACCUGUAAAGCAAACUUGCUUGUACAGCAAGCCACCUGUAGAGGUGAUGACAGAGCCUUUAUUUGAGAUAUAGGAGAUAUAGAACAAGAUAUCAAAGCAAGAGGAAUCGACUCAUCCCUCCCAGCUACAGUUUGGCAGAAAGUGGUGAGCUGAGGAAUGCAGCCUUCUGUGUUUGAACUACGGUGUGCUGAAAGAUCACAUCCCAGGUGCUGUCUGUCUGUGGUAGGUACCAGAGCAAGGAGGCCUCUCUGUGCCAUUGUUGCAGUGAUUUCAGUCUGUGGCACCCACAUUUGGACGCAUGGAUGCUCCAUCUGGAUGUUAAUUUUCAGGGGGAUCAAAGCUUUUUGGAAUAUGGGCUUCUCUUUCCGUAUUAUAUGCAUUUUGUGCAGUUGAGUCUUGCAGUAUCUUUAUAAUUCACCCUUCUGCCAUAAGGUGGGAUGGUGUAAUGUCCUGUUCUUCAGACGAACCGAGAGUGCUGACCAGAUGGUGAAUGAGACAAGGGAUUCACUGCUUCUGACUGAUAAGAAUCCUGGGCAUCAGGUUUCCAGUCCUGCUAACAAACAGUGGGGUUUGUGCACGUACCUCCAUGGGCUCACAUGGAAACAGACGUCAAGCAUCAGAAGAUUCCUGGGUGCGUGUUUAAGGCUUACUGCGUUCUCUAAAGACUGAAAUAGAAUUUUCCCGAUGCUGUAAGUUCUGAUCUUAUGGAAUGUACGUACUGGGAGAAAUUGCUCCUGGUGGCUGAAAUAAAUGCUGGGGUUCUUCAGUGCAGAGCUGUCACGGUUCUGGUCUGCCUGGUGCUACAGCGGAAGAGCCUGGGCUAUUCUGGGAGAGAACCAUGUUCAUUGUACUUAAGCAGGAGAAUGUCCCUGCACUGUUAUUCAGAAGAUAAGCUGUUCUAAUCAACCUUACCUCGGGACCUUGUUUCUCAAAUACAAGCAAGACAGGACUGUGCAUGCGUGUGCAUUGCAUAUAAUGCUGGUGUUUGGUUUUCAUGAGGUUCACAGAUUGGUGCCUGCUUGCUCUGAAGUUGGCUCUUGGAAUGCAGUGAUUCAGUGUCUCACUGACAGUGUGACAAGUAGGACUUGAUUCCUGCAGGUUUGUUUCCUUGCCUAGCUUUAUUUCCACUGCUGCGUAACAGUCUCUGCAAGAGCUGCUUAUAAAAGGAAUGAAGUGCACAUUUUGCUGCAAAAUUAGCACAGACUUUUGCCCAUUUCCUUGGAAAAGUGAACCUAUCGUGCCUUGUUGUUAUCAAGGGAUUUGUUUGCUGGAGGCAAGCUGAGGAAUGGUGCCUGGGGCCUGUGGGCACAAAUAGAUCCCAGUUUCCUGUUCAGGCAGCAGCCUUUAAAUGUUGCAUUAGCAAUAUUAGUAAGGCCAGACAGAUCCAGGGAUGUCUGUGCUCGAGGCUUGAAGUAAGGCUGGAGAAAAGCAAAACAGUUGACUUAAAACAUGUGUGCUUAGAAGCUGGGAAGUGAUGAGAAGUGUCUUCCUCUGUCCUCACGGCAGUUCUGCUGAGUAAUAAUCACUUGGCAAACUGCAGCAGCGUGGCAGGGGAGCUCAGGGUUGCAAUUUAGGAAGAGGAUAUUGAGGGAGGCUAAAGGCUUUGCUAAUGCUUGGCUGGAUGUAAGAAAUGUUCUGUGUUAAGAACGUGUUUUCUAUGUCAGCGGUCCACAGCAUCUGAGGUACUUAACUCAGUGCAAAUGAGAAAAGCUGAUGCUUUUUGUCUACUUGGUAGUGGAACAAGGAAAAUUGAGGAAGGUUUUUGGAACAACUUUAUUCUUCCCUUCUUUCCUGGAAAAAAAAAAAAAAAAAAUUCAGGUGGCCUGGGCUCUCUGUCAUUUAUUCUUUCUGAGCCCUUGGAGCUGGAUUUCUGUUCUUGGCUUUUCAUAGGAGACUGGGCCAACAGAAAACAGCUGAUCCAGGAGCUCAGCUGGAUCCAGGCUGACCUGCUGUUUAGUAAGUCCCCUCCAAGCUCAGUUAAAAACUUCAGUUUUCUUCUCUAAGUUAUGUUUGUCUGAGUUAAGCAAGCACUGAAGCAAAUCUGUUUACCUCUGUUUUUCUUUCUAUGCUGCUCUUUCACUUCUGGACCUCCUGUAAGAAUGACCACAUGCUUUGCUUUUCACUGAUUCUGGGGUAUCACAGUGAACUUCCUCAAUCACAUAUCUCGUUGUGAGCCAUAGUUAAGGAUGGAGGCGCUUUUCCUCCCUGCAUAUCUGCUGCUUUCCUGGCUUUCAGUAGAAACCCCCUUGUGAGCAGUGUAAUGGCUCAACCCUUCCUGCUGAGCAGCACGGUGGGUUGUGGCUGAGUGCUGACACCGUGACUGUGCAGGGUGGGCUGGUGCAGCACACAGCUGUGAUGGCUCUGUUCCUUCACUGAUCCAGUCCUUGUUCAGCUUAGUUGCAUUUUUUUGGUGGGUUUUGUUGUUGUUCUGUAACAGUAACAUGAUGUGCAAAUGUAACGAGCUGAAACAGGGAAGAGAAGAGCAAACCAAAACUGCUCUUGGUUGUGUCCAAUGUGUAAUUAAAUGAGUACCUCUGUAUAUUUUUAAGAGGUUUAAAGUGGUCUCUGGAUUACUGCUCAUCUCAUUUCACACUGCCCUGCAGUGUUUUCACUUUCGGUGCCCUUUGGCUCUGGUUCUUAACUCUAUUAUAUAGGCUCCACUUCAGAUCUUCUUUCAAGGCCCUGUGCCUGAACUGUUGCCUGGUGCAGAAUCUCUUGAGUGCUUUUAGCACUGAGUGCACAACAUCCCCAGGUUCCUGCUCACCGCUGCAGUACCGUCCUCAGGGAAUUCCAGAAGCUUUGCUCAGUGUGGCCUCUUCUGCCUUCCAGCAUCACGGCCUCAAGCAAGCAGCUUUCUGCAUUUUCAUAGCAUACUUUCUCUCCACAGUUGAUUUUCAGCAUUCUGGCUGAUAGAGUUACCACUCUUCUCUUGACCUGUUUCAUAGCGAUAUUAAAAUGAACGCUUUUCUAACACAGUUCACCAAAGAUGAAGUCUGUAUUGUAGGAGUCUGAGCAUGGGAUCAUUUGUGUGACGUGUUGUAGUUGUGAUGGACUAAGAGCUAAGAUGUUUUUAAAGACAUAGGAGCUUUUGUGUAUAAGAGUUUGGUAUGAAUAAUAAAGUUUCUGGGUUUUU
Lagopus leucura (white-tailed ptarmigan) is the source of this 3881-nucleotide long non-coding RNA. RefSeq lists it as uncharacterized. The transcript has 3 exons. NCBI's taxonomy places the organism in Eukaryota, Metazoa, Chordata, Aves, Galliformes, Phasianidae. The record is from RefSeq and is a predicted model, not a curated record.